AUUGAACGCUGGCGGCAGGCUUAACACAUGCAAGUCGAGCGGGGGAAGGUAGCUUGCUACCGGACCUAGCGGCGGACGGGUGAGUAAUGCUUAGGAAUCUGCCUAUUAGUGGGGGACAACAUCUCGAAAGGGAUGCUAAUACCGCAUACGUCCUACGGGAGAAAGCAGGGGAUCUUCGGACCUUGCGCUAAUAGAUGAGCCUAAGUCGGAUUAGCUAGUUGGUGGGGUAAAGGCCUACCAAGGCGACGAUCUGUAGCGGGUCUGAGAGGAUGAUCCGCCACACUGGGACUGAGAUACGGCCCAGACUCCUACGGGAGGCAGCAGUGGGGAAUAUUGGACAAUGGGGGGAACCCUGAUCCAGCCAUGCCGCGUGUGUGAAGAGGGCCUUAUGGUUGUAAAGCACUUUAAGCGAGGAGGAGGCUACCCUAGUUAAUACCUAGGGAUAGUGGACGUUACUCGCAGAAUAAGCACCGGCUAACUCUGUGCCAGCCGCCGCGGUAA
Molecule: ribosomal RNA, 501 nt
Filed under: uncultured bacterium
Lineage: Bacteria
Description: partial 16S ribosomal RNA
Rfam family: Bacterial small subunit ribosomal RNA
Source: RNAcentral